GUUUAUUGAGUGCUUGGUAGGUCAUGUUUGACAGGUGAAGGAACAGAGUCAUGGGGUGGGGGAUGAGAAACCUGCUGACAGUUUAAUUGAUAUGCUUUAAUGAAGAAGUGAGUUUUCAAAGAUUUUUUGAAGGAAUGGAGGCUGGGUGAAAGUCUGAUUGAGGAGGGAAGGGAGUUCCACAGAAUAGGUGCAGCCCUGGAGAAGUCUUGAAGGCGAGCAUCAGAGGUGGGGAUCCGGGCAGAGGAUAGGAGUAGGUCUUGGGCUGAGCGCAGGGGUCUCG
This 280-nucleotide long non-coding RNA is filed under the name Pelobates cultripes (western spadefoot toad). Lineage: Eukaryota; Metazoa; Chordata; Amphibia; Anura; Pelobatidae. The record is from RNAcentral.